RNAcentral lists this ribosomal RNA (1355 nucleotides) under Neisseria gonorrhoeae. RNAcentral describes it as "bacterial SSU rRNA". It matches the Rfam family "Bacterial small subunit ribosomal RNA", at positions 67 to 1416 of the family's 1533-position model. Lineage: Bacteria; Pseudomonadati; Pseudomonadota; Betaproteobacteria; Neisseriales; Neisseriaceae. The record is from RNAcentral.
CAGCACAGGGAAGCUUGCUUCUCGGGUGGCGAGUGGCGAACGGGUGAGUAACAUAUCGGAACGUACCGGGUAGCGGGGGAUAACUGAUCGAAAGAUCAGCUAAUACCGCAUACGUCUUGAGAGGGAAAGCAGGGGACCUUCGGGCCUUGCGCUAUCCGAGCGGCCGAUAUCUGAUUAGCUGGUUGGCGGGGUAAAGGCCCACCAAGGCGACGAUCAGUAGCGGGUCUGAGAGGAUGAUCCGCCACACUGGGACUGAGACACGGCCCAGACUCCUACGGGAGGCAGCAGUGGGGAAUUUUGGACAAUGGGCGCAAGCCUGAUCCAGCCAUGCCGCGUGUCUGAAGAAGGCCUUCGGGUUGUAAAGGACUUUUGUCAGGGAAGAAAAGGCCGUUGCCAAUAUCGGCGGCCGAUGACGGUACCUGAAGAAUAAGCACCGGCUAACUACGUGCCAGCAGCCGCGGUAAUACGUAGGGUGCGAGCGUUAAUCGGAAUUACUGGGCGUAAAGCGGGCGCAGACGGUUACUUAAGCAGGAUGUGAAAUCCCCGGGCUCAACCCGGGAACUGCGUUCUGAACUGGGUGACUCGAGUGUGUCAGAGGGAGGUGGAAUUCCACGUGUAGCAGUGAAAUGCGUAGAGAUGUGGAGGAAUACCGAUGGCGAAGGCAGCCUCCUGGGAUAACACUGACGUUCAUGUCCGAAAGCGUGGGUAGCAAACAGGAUUAGAUACCCUGGUAGUCCACGCCCUAAACGAUGUCAAUUAGCUGUUGGGCAACUUGAUUGCUUGGUAGCGUAGCUAACGCGUGAAAUUGACCGCCUGGGGAGUACGGUCGCAAGAUUAAAACUCAAAGGAAUUGACGGGGACCCGCACAAGCGGUGGAUGAUGUGGAUUAAUUCGAUGCAACGCGAAGAACCUUACCUGGUUUUGACAUGUGCGGAAUCCUCCGGAGACGGAGGAGUGCCUUCGGGAGCCGUAACACAGGUGCUGCAUGGCUGUCGUCAGCUCGUGUCGUGAGAUGUUGGGUUAAGUCCCGCAACGAGCGCAACCCUUGUCAUUAGUUGCCAUCAUUCGGUUGGGCACUCUAAUGAGACUGCCGGUGACAAGCCGGAGGAAGGUGGGGAUGACGUCAAGUCCUCAUGGCCCUUAUGACCAGGGCUUCACACGUCAUACAAUGGUCGGUACAGAGGGUAGCCAAGCCGCGAGGCGGAGCCAAUCUCACAAAACCGAUCGUAGUCCGGAUUGCACUCUGCAACUCGAGUGCAUGAAGUCGGAAUCGCUAGUAAUCGCAGGUCAGCAUACUGCGGUGAAUACGUUCCCGGGUCUUGUACACACCGCCCGUCACACCAUGGGAGUGGGGG